RNAcentral lists this ribosomal RNA (253 nucleotides) under uncultured bacterium. RNAcentral describes it as "partial 16S ribosomal RNA". It matches the Rfam family "Bacterial small subunit ribosomal RNA", at positions 524 to 776 of the family's 1533-position model. The record is from RNAcentral.
UACGAGGGGGGCGAGCGUUGUUCGGAAUUAUUGGGCGUAAAGGGCGCGUAGGCGGUGCGGUAAGUCACCUGUGAAAUCUCCUGGCUCAACUGGGAGCUUGCAGGCGAAACUGCCGUGCUGGAGUGUGGGAGAGGUGCGUGGAAUUCCUGGUGUAGCGGUGAAAUGCGUAGAUAUCAGGAGGAACACCUGUGGCGAAAGCGGCGCACUGGACCACAACUGACGCUGAGGCGCGAAAGCUAGGGGAGCAAACAGG